GAUGAACGCUGGCGGCGUGCCUAAUACAUGCAAGUCGAGCGAACGGACGAGAAGCUUGCUUCUCUGAUGUUAGCGGCGGACGGGUGAGUAACACGUGGAUAACCUACCUAUAAGACUGGGAUAACUUCGGGAAACCGGAGCUAAUACCGGAUAAUAUUUUGAACCGCAUGGUUCAAAAGUGAAAGACGGUCUUGCUGUCACUUAUAGAUGGAUCCGCGCUGCAUUAGCUAGUUGGUAAGGUAACGGCUUACCAAGGCAACGAUGCAUAGCCGACCUGAGAGGGUGAUCGGCCACACUGGAACUGAGACACGGUCCAGACUCCUACGGGAGGCAGCAGUAGGGAAUCUUCCGCAAUGGGCGAAAGCCUGACGGAGCAACGCCGCGUGAGUGAUGAAGGUCUUCGGAUCGUAAAACUCUGUUAUUAGGGAAGAACAUAUGUGUAAGUAACUGUGCACAUCUUGACGGUACCUAAUCAGAAAGCCACGGCUAACUACGUGCCAGCAGCCGCGGUAAUACGUAGGUGGCAAGCGUUAUCCGGAAUUAUUGGGCGUAAAGCGCGCGUAGGCGGUUUUUUAAGUCUGAUGUGAAAGCCCGCGGCUCAACCGUGGAGGGUCAUUGGAAACUGGAAAACUUGAGUGCAGAAGAGGAAAGUGGAAUUCCAUGUGUAGCGGUGAAAUGCGCAGAGAUAUGGAGGAACACCGGUGGCGAAGGCGACUUUCUGGUCUGUAACUGACGCUGAUGUGCGAAAGCGUGGGGAUCAAACAGGAUUAGAUACCCUGGUAGUCCACGCCGUAAACGAUGAGUGCUAAGUGUUAGGGGGUUUCCGCCCCUUAGUGCUGCAGCUAACGCAUUAAGCACUCCGCCUGGGGAGUACGACCGCAAGGUUGAAACUCAAAGGAAUUGACGGGGACCCGCACAAGCGGUGGAGCAUGUGGUUUAAUUCGAAGCAACGCGAAGAACCUUACCAAAUCUUGACAUCCUUUGACAACUCUAGAGAUAGAGCUUUCCCCUUCGGGGGACAAAGUGACAGGUGGUGCAUGGUUGUCGUCAGCUCGUGUCGUGAGAUGUUGGGUUAAGUCCCGCAACGAGCGCAACCCUUAAGCUUAGUUGCCAUCAUUAAGUUGGGCACUCUAAGUUGACUGCCGGUGACAAACCGGAGGAAGGUGGGGAUGACGUCAAAUCAUCAUGCCCCUUAUGAUUUGGGCUACACACGUGCUACAAUGGACAAUACAAAGGGCAGCGAAACCGUGAGGUCAAGCAAAUCCCAUAAAGUUGUUCUCAGUUCGGAUUGUAGUCUGCAACUCGACUACAUGAAGCUGGAAUCGCUAGUAAUCGUAGAUCAGCAUGCUACGGUGAAUACGUUCCCGGGUCU
RNAcentral lists this ribosomal RNA (1372 nucleotides) under uncultured bacterium. Its description in RNAcentral is "bacterial SSU rRNA". It matches the Rfam family "Bacterial small subunit ribosomal RNA", at positions 28 to 1381 of the family's 1533-position model. The record is from RNAcentral.